This 870-nucleotide ribosomal RNA is filed under the name Clitopilus crispus. RNAcentral's name for it is "partial large subunit ribosomal RNA". It matches the Rfam family "Eukaryotic large subunit ribosomal RNA", at positions 46 to 931 of the family's 3401-position model. Lineage: Eukaryota; Fungi; Basidiomycota; Agaricomycetes; Agaricales; Entolomataceae. The record is from RNAcentral.
CAUAGCGGAGGAAAAGAAACUAACAAGGAUUCCCCUAGUAACUGCGAGUGAAGCGGGAAAAGCUCAAAUUUAAAAUCUGGUAGUUUCACUGCCCGAGUUGUAAACUAGAGAAGCGUUAUCCGCGCUGGACCGUGUAUAAGUCUCCUGGAAUGGAGCGUCAUAGAGGGUGAGAAUCCCGUCUUUGACACGGACUACCAGGGCUUUGUGAUGCGCUCUCAAAGAGUCGAGUUGUUUGGGAAUGCAGCUCUAAAUGGGUGGUAAAUUCCAUCUAAAGCUAAAUAUUGGCGAGAGACCGAUAGCGAACAAGUACCGUGAGGGAAAGAUGAAAAGAACUUUGGAAAGAGAGUUAAACAGUACGUGAAAUUGUUGAAAGGGAAACGCUUGAAGUCAGUCGCGUCGGCUAGGAAUCAGCCUUGCUUUUGCUUGGUGUACUUUCUAGUCGACGGGUCAGCAUCAGUUUUGAUCGGUGGAAAAAGGCCAGCGGAAUGUGGCACCUUCGGGUGUGUUAUAGCUGCUGGUUGUAUACAUCGGUUGGGACUGAGGAACUAGCACUCUGUGUUUUAGAUGCUGGCAUAAUGGCUUUAAUCGACCCGUCUUGAAACACGGACCAAGGAGUCUAACAUGCCUGCGAGUGUUUGGGUGGAAAACCCGAGCGCGUAAUGAAAGUGAAAGUUGAGAUCCCUGUCGUGGGGAGCAUCGACGCCCGGACCAGACCUUUUGUGACGGAUCCGCGGUAGAGCAUGUAUGUUGGGACCCGAAAGAUGGUGAACUAUGCCUGAAUAGGGUGAAGCCAGAGGAAACUCUGGUGGAGGCUCGUAGCGAUUCUGACGUGCAAAUCGAUCGUCAAAUUUGGGUAUAGGGGCGAAAGAC